This 69-nucleotide transfer RNA is filed under the name Schindleria praematura (Schindler's fish). RNAcentral describes it as "tRNA-His". It matches the Rfam family "tRNA". From Rfam's summary of the family: Transfer RNA (tRNA) molecules are approximately 80 nucleotides in length. Lineage: Eukaryota; Metazoa; Chordata; Actinopteri; Gobiiformes; Schindleriidae. The record is from RNAcentral.
GUGUUCAUAGUUUAAACAAGACGUUAGAUUGUGAUUCUAGAAAUAAAGGUUAAAACCCUUUUGAUCACC